Molecule: long non-coding RNA, 277 nt
Filed under: Ananas comosus (pineapple)
Lineage: Eukaryota; Viridiplantae; Streptophyta; Magnoliopsida; Poales; Bromeliaceae
Description: long non-coding RNA (ACOM_LNC001286)
Source: RNAcentral
UAUAUAUAUAUAUAUAUAUAUAUAGAGUAGGGCUAGAAUACUUGUAAAAGUAUCAUGGGGGUGAUACUUGUGUGUUUUUAGCCCUUGGAUGGAGAGAUGUGAGGUUGAGAUGAUGGUGAUAGGUUGUGGUAGGUGGUGGUAGGUGGAAUAGUGUUUAAUCCAAGGGCUAUUAAUAAUCAAAAAGUAGAUCCAAUGGCUUAAAACCUAAUAGCACCAUGAUGGUGAUACUUGUAAAAGUAUCAUAGCUCAACUCUAUAUAUAUAUAUAUAUAUAUAUA